AUGCACUGCCGCUCAUCCUCUCUUUGGUCUUGGUUCCUCUCCACCGGUGAGCCGUAUCACGGCGGCGCUGCGAAGAUGGCCGACGGCGCUGUUCAGGUAGGAGACAGCCACAUAUGCUACAACCAGGGGUUGUUUGUUUUUGCUUGGAUUGCCCCGCUGUCCUGCAUGCAUCAACGGCGGCCAGCAGCUACCCAUGCUGCAACCAGCAGGUCCCAGCGACGAAGAUGA
Molecule: ribosomal RNA, 228 nt
Filed under: Triticum aestivum (bread wheat)
Lineage: Eukaryota; Viridiplantae; Streptophyta; Magnoliopsida; Poales; Poaceae
Description: partial small subunit ribosomal RNA
Source: RNAcentral